UCAAACAAAACCUCGAUAGGUGCCUAUAUCAAAUAUAUAGGAGAAUAGGGAAUAAUGUGCAAAUCAUUAGCGGUCCCGCCACUGUAACUUGGAGAUUCCUAGCAUAACCACUGCGAUUUAAGCGGGAAGGGUUAGGGUAUCUAUGAAAAGAAGCCAGGAGACCUGCCUAUCAGGAUACAUAAUG
Molecule: non-coding RNA, 184 nt
Filed under: Desulfuribacillus stibiiarsenatis
Lineage: Bacteria; Bacillati; Bacillota; Desulfuribacillia; Desulfuribacillales; Desulfuribacillaceae
Also listed under: 1 other name
Source: RNAcentral